ACGGGAGGCAGCAGUGAGGAAUAUUGGUCAAUGGGCGGAAGCCUGAACCAGCCAAGUCGCGUGAAGGAUGAAGGUAUUAUGUAUUGUAAACUUCUUUAGCAGCAGAGUAAUAAGGGGGUCGAGACCUCCGAUGCAAGUAUGCUGAGAAUAAGGAUCGGCUAACUCCGUGCCAGCAGCCGCGGUAAUACGGAGGAUCCGAGCGUUAUCCGGAUUUAUUGGGUUUAAAGGGAGCGCAGGCGGCCUGUUAAGCGUGUGGUGAAAUGUAGUCGCUCAACGUCUGCACUGCCACGCGAACUGGCGGGCUUGGGUGCGGUGAACGCUGGCGGAAUUCGUGGUGUAGCGGUGAAAUGCUUAGAUAUCACGAAGAACUCCGAUUGCGAAGGCAGCUGGCGGUACCGUUACCGACGCUCAUGCUCGAAAGUGUGGGUAUCGAACAGGAUUAGAUACCCUGGUA
This 454-nucleotide ribosomal RNA is filed under the name uncultured Bacteroides sp. RNAcentral describes it as "partial 16S ribosomal RNA". It matches the Rfam family "Bacterial small subunit ribosomal RNA", at positions 341 to 792 of the family's 1533-position model. Lineage: Bacteria; Pseudomonadati; Bacteroidota; Bacteroidia; Bacteroidales; Bacteroidaceae. The record is from RNAcentral.